This is a long non-coding RNA of Girardinichthys multiradiatus, 1352 nucleotides long. RefSeq lists it as uncharacterized. The record is from RefSeq and is a predicted model, not a curated record. Lineage: Eukaryota; Metazoa; Chordata; Actinopteri; Cyprinodontiformes; Goodeidae. The transcript has 3 exons.
AACUCAACUGACUGUGAAUAAUUACAAGGUCCAGUGAAAGAGGAGAAAAUAAUUUGGGUUAUUUUUCCUCCCUUCUGCCUAUUACAUCCCUGAAUAGUCUCCCGUUAACCAAACCUGGAAAACACCUGGAUAACUGAGUGAAAGAAUAAAUGAGAAAACAGGAAAAGAAAAACAUGCCAAGAUGAAGACAAAUAGGGGAUGGCUGCAGAUUUAAACACACAUGUAGAGCCAGAGGGAAAGCAGGACUCAGCGAGUUAUCCAAACUGGUGUGUGACUAAACCUCCUGAAUUUUCCCACUGGCCUUCAUGUCAUCUCCAGUAGAUUAUCUUCUCAUCUUGUCAAUCUGGAUCUGCUUUGCUACUGGAAAGCUCCCAAUAAAUAGGUAGCUGCUAUUGGCUAAAGGACUGCACCUCCUCUCUGCAAGCUAAGAAGGCAUCAUGUGUUCUCUACAGGAGCUGUUGCUUUAUUACAACAGAAAAAAUAAAAAUAAACUUCAUUGAGGAUCACCUCUCUGGUCCGAAAAUACUAUUUUCAGUUUUGUCAAAAUUAGUCACCUUUGGUCAUUUUUGCUUAAACUGGAGCAACUUAGAAAGUGGAAACAAAUUAAAUGCAAAAGGCUGCUAAUAACAAAGUAAUUAAAGGUCAUGUUUAAAAAACUUUGUGUUAUGUGAAAAUAUGUUUGCUUGUUUUUUUUUAUGUAUAAAUGAUCCUUAAGUUGGUGUGGAAUGGCUUAAAAAAACACUUCUCUGCAUUGACUCAGGUAAAAGACGCCAACUUUAAAAGACCCUAAUAAAAGCCUGGGGAAUUAAAAACUUUAUAGGAUUAUAAUAAAGUCUAAAAUAUCUUAAACAAACUAAUAAAAAUGUUCAGCAUCAUAUAUGUGACACAAAGCAUUCCAGUAAUUAAAAUGACACAAGCUUUCAGUCUUAAUGUUGUGAGAAGAUUUUAUUAUUUUAUAGGAAAAACAAAACUCGCCUCAUUAUAAUCUGGAGAUUAUCCAACAUACACUAAAGCCUAAUUCAGUCAUUCAGAUCUGUUAAAAGGGGAGUGGCAAAUGUUCAACAAGAUGAAGAAGACACGCUGGAGACCAUCUUCUCAUAAUAAAUAUACUCUUUGAAAUUGUUAUAACUUGACAGUUAUGUUAUUGAAGGAUUUUAGCCAUUAGAAUUGCUAUAAAAACACACAAAAUGAACUACAAGUUCUCCAAGAGGCUAGAAAGUUAGCACUAGCCAUGUUAGAGCGUCAGUGCGGUGCCAGAUCUCCCACCCUACUUCCACACAUUCUUCACUAAGGAGAAGAAACCAGUAAACGGAAAAGAAGGAAGCAGAGAAAAACCUAUGAUUACAGGGAUU